UCCGUCAACAGGUGAAGUGCGACACUGGCUCAUUCGGCUCGUCAAUACCAUGGGACGGAGACCUAUUAUCGCUGUCCUUGCUGUGCUUCAAGGCCUAGGUGCUUGGGUCAUAUAUUUGCGGAUGACAGAUGGAACUGUAAAACAACCGGAACUUUCAUCAAGCAGUAUCAUUGAGGCACUGAGAGACCUCAAAUCACCUCUGACGCAAAGCCCACUGAUGAAGGCUCACCUUGAACGAAGAUUUGCUC
Long non-coding RNA from Haliotis rubra (blacklip abalone), 248 nucleotides. RefSeq lists it as uncharacterized. The record is from RefSeq and is a predicted model, not a curated record. NCBI's taxonomy places the organism in Eukaryota, Metazoa, Mollusca, Gastropoda, Lepetellida, Haliotidae. The transcript has 3 exons.